UUUUUUUUUAUUCUUUUUUUUUUCCCAGAGCUACGUUCUUCUGCCAAAUUCCAAAUUUACCUUCUUUUCGUCCCUGCAAUUACAAGCCUACCUUCCACCUUCUGUCUCUGGCUUCUACAACCUCCCAUCGGGGGCGGCGGCGGCUCGGCGUCUUAUUGGCUCUUGCCAACGAACCGAGGCGACUCCCUUGCUUUCUCCUCCGGACUCACCCCCGCCGAAGAAGCUGAAGACCAUGUCGGAAAUAUUGGCCAAGGCAAAGUACGCUGUCGUGGAGCGAGCUGACUACAACGACGUGAGCUGCGAGCAAUGCGGCUCCGGUGACCUGCCUGAUGAACUCCUCUUGUGUGACAAAUGCGAUAAGGGAUUUCCCAUGAAAUGCGUGAGGCCAAUUGUUGCAAGAGUCCCGAUUGGAUCUUGGCUCUGCCCUAUGUGCUAUGGCCAGAGACGAGGCUUUCACAGAAGAAGAUAAUUGAUUUUUUCAGGAUUCGGAAUGGUAAUUGUAAGAAAGAUAAAUGCAGUUCUCUUCAAGAGAUGAGAAAGUGCCGAAGACGGUCUGGAUCACUGGUGUAUCAAAAGAAAAGGCGGAGAUUGUUGCCUUUUAUUCCAUCAGAAGAUCAUUCCGAAAGGCUGAAACAAAUGGGCAUCCUUGCUUCUGCAUUGACGGCAUUACAAAUGGAGUUUAGUGAUGAUCUAACCUACAUGCCUGGCAUGGCUUCUAGAUCUGCCAAUCAGGCAAAGUUUAAAGAGGGUGGCAUGCAGGUUCUUUCCAAAGAGGAUACAGAGACAUUGGAACAAUGUAGAGCUCUGUGUAUGAGAGGCGAAUGCCCUCCCCUUAUAGUGGUUUUUGAUUCAUGUGAAGGAUUUACAGUUGUGGCAGAUGGCCAGAUAAAAGAUAUGACACUUAUAGCAGAAUACACAGGCGAUGUGGAUUACAUUAGAAACCGUGAACAUGAUGAUUGUGAUAGUAUGAUGACCCUUCUCUUAGCAAAAGACCCAUCUAAAAGUCUUGUCAUCUGCCCUGAUAAACGCGGAAAUAUUACUCGCUUUGUCAAUGGCAUUAACAACCAUACUCUGUAAGCCUGUAUAAAUUAUUGCUUCUCCAUAUUCUGACUAAAAAAUUUGUCUAAAUAUUCUUCUGCUUUUGCCUCAUUUCGGCCUUUCUUCUGCUAGGUUUCAAUUGCAAAACAAGCUAUCCAGCCCAUGCUCCAAUAAAAUUCUACAUUUGUUUGUUUUCUUGUGUCGUGAUUGUGUUAGAAUUAAGAAAUAUUAAGUCUAUCAUCCACAAAGCUUGAAAUAUAUCCAAUUUUGUGCAGGGAUGGUAAGAAGAAGCAGAAUUGUAAAUGUGUGAGAUACAGUGUAAAUGGUGAAUGCCGGGUAUUUUUGGUUGCUACUCGUGAUAUUGCUAAAGGAGAGAGGCUAUACUAUGAUUAUAAUGGAUAUGAGCAUGAAUAUCCUACUCAACAUUUUGUCUGAGAAACUUAUAGAUAGUUGUCUGAUAGUUCAACAGAACUAGUAUUUGGAUCCUCAUAGAUGCUUUCUCAUCGGCAUAUAAUUUCACAGCUUAAUCAAUGUUGUUGCGGAGUUGAAAAAAUCUCUUCUAAUGUACUCUUUGGCCUUUUACAGUAAUUUAUGUAGAGCUACCUGUCAUGAGGCCAUGAGAAAAUUUAGAGGAGGCAAGAAAGGUUUCCCUUAGAAUUUAGACAUGAAAUUUUGAUAUCCUAGAAAUAUUUUUAGGAAAAAGAAUCCUUUUGUAAUAGAGAUUUCAAUUGAAAUCUUUUCUUUUACUGGGUGACUCUCAUUUGCUCUGCUUUUGUUUAAUUCAUAAUUUGGUCGUCUCUUACAGAAAUCUCAUGAAGAUAUUAAAAUUUCGUCCACUUGCUCCCUAACACAUCUAAGAAUUUUGACCUUUAAAUUGGAAAUAUGACUAACAUUUUAUUGUUGUUUGUUUCUAUUGAACUUAUAUUUGAGGUGUUCCCCCUUGUUCUUGUUGGAAAAAAUAGAAUUCCAUGGAUUUUGACCCAUGGACAUGCAUAAACCCAUAAACCCAUGCUUGAAUCCCUGAUAGGGGCAUAAUCACAUUGAAAAUGGAUUAUACCUAUAAUUUCAUAGCCUAAGUAUUCCUGUUUUACAGAUAACUCACACAGAAUUUCUCCAAGAAAGAUAUAGAAAGAGAAAGGACCUUAAGUAGAUAGCUUAAGUGACAUAUUUCAUAGAAUCUUGCUUGUUCACCUUCUUGAUUUUGAUUUUCUUGGGUCAAGGUCACACAUGGAAGUAGGAGAAAAAUUCACAUUAUGCAGUCUUUUUUUAUCAGUUGAGAUUGGUUUUUCUUUUUUAUUUGAUUAAGAGUUAUGUACUCUUUAGGGUCCUUUUUUCAUACUGACAUUGUAACCUUCGCUAUUGUGCAGUAAUUCCAUAUCCACUGAUAUGGACCUAGACCAGGUUGGCCCAUCAUGGGUGAACCAGAUUUAUUCCAACAGUUAUGUUUUUAAUGUUCUAGAUUCUUCCCUUGGAAUCCAGGAGAUGUAUCAUUUUCUUUUCAUUUCAGUUUCUAAUCUAUAAUCUACUUUUCAACUUUCACAAAAAUAGUCUCAAGAUAUAAUGCUUAGCCAUGGGGUAGAUUCAAAGGCAUCCUUUAAAGCUGCAAAGUUAAAUAAUUAACUGGAAGCUCUGGGACGUGUGAGCUGCUCUGUGCAUCAUGUUGCUGCCACAGCUUGAAUUUACCGGACAGUCAUGUCCAUGGUUUGGAACUUGUGUUUGCCUUCCAUGCACAAGGAGCUUAUGUUACCUGUUCAAAAGGAUUAGUUAUGCUGCUGCAUCUACCCUUAUCACUGGCCCAGUCAAGGUAUUGAAACUUACUCUAUUAAUAGGCAUUGGCGUUUCAAUUCUUUCAAUGUAUCUGCUCAAGAAUAUGGAUCUUUGGUACUUAAACUUGAUUAGCAGCACUGUUGUUGAGAUGGAUGAGAUAAUUUACUUAUUUUGAAGGAGGUUGUAGUUGGAGGUGGUUCCAAUUGAUGAGACAAUAGGUAAAUGCUGCUUUUUACUUCACUAUAGUAUUGCAGUAAGAAUUCAUUAUUUGUAUCAGAAUAUUUUUUUUCUUAGUUGGAAGAAAUGCUUUUAGCUUGAUCAAUCCUCUUUUUAUACUCGAGAAACCAUAUAUAUGUGACAUCAUCAUAUUUUCUCUGAUGAUCAUGGAGAAAAUGUCAAUUGCAGAUUACCUUUCCUGGAGAAAGGGAAGGAGAUAAAAGGACCUUUCUUUAAAGUUAGGUGCUUCCUAGGGUAAAUAUCGAGGAUGUUUAUUGACAUGGUAAAGUUUUUUAAUAACAUUGCAGUACUCCCACAAAGCUAUAGCACAAAUUCUGAAAUGUCUGAAAAUGUUCUCAUUUUCUAGCAUAGAGUUUGCUUAUUGAAAAGAACGGUCUGUGAGACACCAUGGAUCAGCAUCAAUGAUCUUGGCCACAUCGUUCUGCAUUUGCAUUUUUCUUUUCCAAAAGCUCUGAUGCUUCGAUAAAAGAUGUUUUAUUCCAAAUGAGGAAUAUCAUUUACAAUAAAUCCUUAAUCAGAUGUUAUUUUCUUUUCAGGUUCUUAAGAUUUAAGUUGUGCAUCCAAAGCUGUUGUUUAAAUGACGCCAUUGCUGUUUUUGCUUCUGUAGUGAAUGCAAAGAUUACUUCUGGAAGCUGGUCUUAGAUUUCUGGGCAAUUAAAGGUGAUGACAGCUACAGAUCUGUGCAGUAAAAGCAAAUGCAAUACUUGUACAUGAAUUGAAUUAUGCAUGCUUUGUUUUUAGGGGGUACUGGCACUGCAUGCUUUGUUCAUAUAAUGUCAAGCUGAGCAUCUGCUUCAAUUCUACCAUUCCUGUUGGCAUAAUUGAGUUGAUUGAUUAUCUAAUGUCACUUUAAAAUCUUCCUUUUGUAAAUUUUGGUGUAUGAUCUAAUCGUAAUCCUUCUUGUGUGAGAACAUAUAUUAUUUCUGGGCAACUUACAAAAUGACUAGUGAGGCAUGAUUGUAAUUAUGGCUUACUCUUCACUUUUUCAAUUUUAAUUUUUUUGGGUUCAAUUCCAU
This 4058-nucleotide unclassified non-coding RNA is filed under the name Hevea brasiliensis (rubber tree). The record is from RNAcentral. Lineage: Eukaryota; Viridiplantae; Streptophyta; Magnoliopsida; Malpighiales; Euphorbiaceae.